GACGAACGCUGGCGGCGUGCUUAACACAUGCAAGUCGUACGGUAAGGCCCUUUCGGGGGUACACGAGUGGCGAACGGGUGAGUAACACGUGAGUAACCUGCCCACAACUUUGGGAUAACGCUAGGAAACUGGUGCUAAUACUGGAUAUGUGCUCCUGCUGCAUGGUGGGGGUUGGAAAGCUCCGGCGGUUGUGGAUGGACUCGCGGCCUAUCAGCUUGUUGGUGGGGUAGUGGCCUACCAAGGCGGCGACGGGUAGCCGGCCUGAGCGGGUGACCGGCCACAUUGGGACUGAGAUACGGCCCAGACUCCUACGGGAGGCAGCAGUGGGGAAUAUUGCACAAUGGGCGCAAGCCUGAUGCAGCAACGCCGCGUGCGGGAUGACGGCCUUCGGGUUGUAAACCGCUUUCAGCAGGGACGAAGCUUUUUGUGACGGUACCUGCAGAAGAAGCACCGGCUAACUACGUG
RNAcentral lists this ribosomal RNA (465 nucleotides) under uncultured bacterium. Its description in RNAcentral is "partial 16S ribosomal RNA". It matches the Rfam family "Bacterial small subunit ribosomal RNA", at positions 28 to 507 of the family's 1533-position model. The record is from RNAcentral.